RNAcentral lists this ribosomal RNA (255 nucleotides) under uncultured bacterium. Its description in RNAcentral is "partial 16S ribosomal RNA". It matches the Rfam family "Bacterial small subunit ribosomal RNA", at positions 524 to 776 of the family's 1533-position model. The record is from RNAcentral.
UACGUAGGGGGCAAGCGUUGUCCGGAUUUAUUGGGCGUAAAGAGCGUGUAGGCGGCCAGGUAGGUCUGCUGUGAAAACUCGAGGCUUAACCUCGAGCUGUCGGCGGAAACCAUCUGGCUAGAGUCCGGAAGAGGAGAAUGGAAUUCCCGGUGUAGCGGUGAAAAUGCGCAGAUAUCGGGAAGAACACCCGUGGCGAAGGCGGUUCUCUGGGACGGUACUGACGCUGGAGACGCGAAAGCGUGGGGAGCGAACAGG